UCCCUGGUGGUCGAGUGGUUAAGACUCUGUGCUUUCAUUGCCAAGGGCUCAGGUCCAAUUCCUGUUCUGGGAG
Molecule: transfer RNA, 73 nt
Filed under: Ovis aries (sheep)
Lineage: Eukaryota; Metazoa; Chordata; Mammalia; Artiodactyla; Bovidae
Rfam family: tRNA
About the family: Transfer RNA (tRNA) molecules are approximately 80 nucleotides in length. Their secondary structure includes four short double-helical elements and three loops (D, anti-codon, and T loops). Further hydrogen bonds mediate the characteristic L-shaped molecular structure. tRNAs have two regions of fundamental functional importance: the anti-codon, which is responsible for specific mRNA codon recognition, and the 3' end, to which the tRNAs corresponding amino acid is attached (by aminoacyl-tRNA synthetases). tRNAs cope with the degeneracy of the genetic code in two manners: having more than one tRNA (with a specific anti-codon) for a particular amino acid; and 'wobble' base-pairing, i.e. permitting non-standard base-pairing at the 3rd anti-codon position.
Source: Rfam by way of RNAcentral